This 301-nucleotide ribosomal RNA is filed under the name uncultured bacterium. RNAcentral describes it as "partial 16S ribosomal RNA". It matches the Rfam family "Bacterial small subunit ribosomal RNA", at positions 509 to 808 of the family's 1533-position model. The record is from RNAcentral.
CAGUAGCCGCGGGAAUACGUAGGGUGCAAGCGUUAAUCGGAAUUACUGGGCGUAAAGCGCACGCAGGCGGUCUGUCAAGUCAGAUGUGAAAUCCCCGGGCUUAACCUGGGAACUGCAUUUGAAACUGGCAGGCUAGAGUCUUGUAGAGGGGGGUAGAAUUCCAGGUGUAGCGGUGAAAUGCGUAGAGAUCUGGAGGAAUACCGGUGGCGAAGGCGGCCCCCUGGACAAAGACUGACGCUCAGGUGCGAAAGCGUGGGGAGCAAACAGGAUUAGAGACCCCGGUAGUCCCCUGUCUCUUAUA